ACACUGACGAGGAGUCCCACAAUGGGAGGAAACGGCCGUCUAGUGU
RNAcentral lists this non-coding RNA (46 nucleotides) under Schistosoma mattheei. The record is from RNAcentral. Lineage: Eukaryota; Metazoa; Platyhelminthes; Trematoda; Strigeidida; Schistosomatidae.